GUUGCGUGAGAGGCAGGUCAUCGCUUUGCCCCUCCAUCUCCCACAUCGCCCCUUUCCUCGUCACACGGAGUCGAAGGGGAAAGAAGAGGUUGAGUCGGGCUUCUCCUUGCGUCGGGUUUUCUCCUCGGUUUCUACUCCGUCCACCCCGCUUCCUCGCCUCCUCCCCUUCUGCCGGCCCAUUUUCCAAUUUUCGGGUUUCCUCCCUUCCGCUCGACUCGUUGCGUGAAGAGGAGCUUCAGCGACGCGAGCUGUGAUGGGCACCGGGGGCAAGGUUGGCCAGAAUUUUUUGCAUGUUCGGGGAUGGCUUCAUGUAUAUUCAUUCAGUUGUUGUCGUACUCCAAUUUAUUAUUCAUGGUUUCCUUGGCCUACAGAAAUAUAUGCACAUCAAGGAGCAUAGAGCUGCCAUUUACAUCCAGGUGUUCUAGAUAUCCUAAUGAUGUAUGGUGCAUUUCAACAUCACGUCGAUCAGCUGUUACCCGAACAUCACGUCUAUUUUAUAUGUUAAAGAUCUUAAAAGUCUCUCAAUUGACCUAUUGGUUCCUGGCAUGUUGGUUAAUGCUCAAGUGACUUCAGUACUUGAGAAUUGGAUAAUGCUAUCAUUGCUUAUACAUACUUCACUAGAUAUGUAUGACUUUUUAAUUUUUUCAUUGCUUAUAUAUUUUUUGAAGGUGCAAGGCUUUGGAAUUGAAUAAGAUACAUUCACCUAGUGACUUAUAAUCUAUAACUGGAAUAUGGAAAGAUAAUUAUGCUCAGAACAAACACAUUCUCAUUAUCGAUGAGUUAGUUACCAUGCUUUCUAAUUCUUUUUUUUUUUUUUUGACACAUGAGCUACACCAAAUAGUGAAUGCAGUCGUUGAAAUGGUAGCCCCUGCGUGUGCUCAGGCAGCAUUGAACGAUUUUAUCAGUCACUAGGCGUCUUGCAGUUGCUGCAAUUGUAUCAGAAUGCCUUGUAGCUUCCUCAUUUGAGACUGUCAGAGGUUGGGACAACUUUAAAUCGUUACUGUCCCCAAGUGGGCACAUGUCCUUCUGGUUCAGACCAUCUGUGCACACCAGGGUCGGUGGUUGACUAUUCUGUCGGGUUGUUCCCUCUAUCACAGGACUUGUGUUGUCUCAUUACUAGCCUCAUUAGCAGCACUAUCCAGGUCUUCAUGGUUCCCAACAAUUGUAUUCAUUGUUUGGGGAUUCCGGGAGGCAUUACAGUGCGCUACAUGGUGUCCUAGUUGCUGGCAUCCGGUGCAAAGCUUCAUGUAGAUUCAAAAUGCAGCUGUUGGACUAAAAUAUAUGGGCACUAUAUGUAUGCUCAUUUAUGGAUGACUAGAGAAUGAUGCUCUUGUUUCUUGAAACUCAAGAAGAGGAAAUUGAAGGAAGAUUGUUGGGAUCAUGCGUAAAGAUGGAAACUGUCUCUCAAAUAAAGAGUAGUGUUUGGAAGGAUCGGCUAGAAGGUUUUUGUCCUACUUUUCUGAUAGUUUUAGAGGAUGUGGGCGAUACAUAUGCAACUUUAGCACUAAUGUAUGGAUAUGAUGCUAGAUAUGCUCCUUCAACAAGUCAUUCAAGCUAGAAUAAUUGCACUAGUGGUCGUGUUGUCAUCAAUUCUUCUGAAAUGAGCAUCUCAUUCCCUUUAAAAUAAAGAGAUCAAAUGCUCGAUUAUGUCCUGAGAUUGAUGGGUGAGAUGAGAAUGAGUUGGUUGAUUCAAGCAUUGAGCAUCUGCAAACUCAGACUCUUGCUUUGUGUGCGUGUAAAACUUGGGUUUUAGUGGAACCAUGAUUGAAGCUAGAAACCGUAUUCUAAAGGGCUGAUAGCUCAUUCAAAAGCGGUUUGCUGCUAGAAUGCUUAUUGGAAAGAAACCUGCCCAAGCAUUGCUCCCUACCAACAAAAGUCUAUUACAAAGUCGUGUGUGAAAACGACAAAUGGGGUGGGAUAAUCGAAGGUUUUUGUUGAGAUUGAAGAUAUUGAGGAGCAUGCUGUGAAAAGGACUCCUUCAAUGAGUGAGCUCAAUGAAAUAAUGCUGGGCAGGAACAACUUAAGCAAAGUAGCCCGUUAUUUUUCAUAGUAUCAUAAGGGAUUCUGAUUCAGGAAGCUAUUCCUAAUGAAGUUUAUAACUCAGCUGAUGAAGAGUAUACUGCUGACGAAGGAUAAAGACAAUCAAGAGAUUCUGAUUUAAUUUUAGAAGGUAACAUACCAAAGUGGAAAUUACAAAAAGAUAGUUAUAGAUUUCAACACUUCUUAAUAAGAGAUUUUAGUGUGUUUAUGGGGACAAGUUCAGCACCUGCUCAUUGAUGUCAUUACUUAAAUGGCUUCCAUCAUGAAAAAAAUUCCAAAGUGAUGCGUGGUGCUGUGUCUUUUGGGGCUGCUUAUAUUAAAACAUGAAAUCAAGCAAUGGAAUGCUUUACCAUUUUUUGUGAGCUCUACAAAAUCAUGAAAGAGCAAGAAUCCCAAGGUUUCCGGUGAAGGCAUUUCAUGGAUGGUAUCUACAGUUGAAGACUUUGGAAUUAUGCCUAUAAAGUUAAAGAUUACAAGUGACACCAGGAAACUUGUCCAUCACGCUCAAAUCAUAUUGCUCGAGUUGAUGCUUGCACGGAUUUGUUUUCUUGCUGUGUUGGGAGUUAAAUUCAUUCCAUUAUGCCCUGAUAACUACUGCUCUUUUGUAAUUUGAGAGCUUGCUUUUCUUGGAUGCUAAGAUUUCUAUAAUUGCAGUUGUUUGUACCAAUAAGUUUCUUUUCCUUCAUGGUGGCUUCUGCGUUGGAAGUCGUAUUCCUUGAGCUGGCAGAUAAGCUCAAGUUCUCGAAGCUUGCAAGCACUUGCUGAGAUGCUGCUCUUUCGAUGCUGGCCAUUUGUCGUCUAGCGUCAUGUUCUUCUUCAAGGAGGGCGCUUGUUCGGGUUGAGUUAACCAGGUCUUCAUAUUCAGUAAGGAGUAGAUAAUGUGGGCUAGAUAAUUGGAGGCAUGUUGAUUGGGUUGAGCUUUGAUUUGACUUAGGGCUUCCUCCAGAGUCAUCAGGGUCUCUUCUUGUGGAUGCCAUCAUGUGGUUAAACUGCACACAAGACGAGACAAGGCAUCAGCCAAAAGGUUGUCCUUACCGUCGAUAUGCUGGAAGUUAAUUGGUAUGCCCAUGUUGGUGACGAAGUCGGUGAAGGCUAUCCAUCUCACUCUAGAAGGCUUGUUCUGAAAGCUUUUGUUGAAAAAUGAUAUUAUAGCCUUGCAAUUAGUUCGGACCAUUAAUUCCUUUUUAUCAAGAUAAUAAAUCUUGAAGCUAUCCAGGCUGUUCAUUACUACAUAGAUCUCAGCAUCUAUGGUAGCUUUUGGUGGACAGAAUUUCCCGCUUGCAUAUGCACAAACUUUUUCUGUUGAUUUGGGAUUAAAUUGUUGUAGCUUCCACUUACAUAUUCCUCCCCAGCCUUCCAUACAGCCAUCUCUUUCAAGUAUGAUAAACUAGUUUUCUGGUGGAAGCUCGAGAUCCGGGAGUUGUUGGACCUUUUCUUUAAUUUGUCUUACUAAGGCCCAAUCCUGACUAUUCAUCUUCUUUUCUCCGGUCAGGCUAAUUUUUGAAUAUAGUGGCCCAAGUGUUUUUCCAAGAUUAGGAAUAUAAGAACGAGCAUAGUUAAGAAGUCCUAACCAUGAUCGCUGGCCUUUUGUUGUUUGAAGAUCUUUUUCUUGAAAUCCUGAGAUCCUCUUGAUAAUACGAGGCUGUAAUUUGAUUCUUUUAUUGCCAAUAGUGGCUCCCAGAAAAUCAAUUGUAGGUACUCCUAUUUUCAUUUUGUUGGACUUAGUAUGAGACCAUUCUUGUUGCAUAUAUCAAGCAUAACCUUCAAAUGUUCUGCAUGCUCUUUUUCAUUCUUAGAAAAUACCAGGAUAUCAUCAAUAUAUAUGGCUAUGAACUGCUCUGUUCCUCUGAAGUAGUUAUCCAUAUUUCUUUGGAAUACUGCGGGAGCAUUCUUUAACCCGAAUGGCAUAACGAGUAAUUCAUAUAAACCGUCAGGUACCCAAAAAGAUGUCCAUUCAAUGGACUGAGGAUGCAUAGCAACUUGAUGAAAACCGCUUUUCAAAUCAAAUUUUGAAUAUAUAAUCAUUCAUAAAUUGAAUGACAUCCUUAAUAUUAUUGCAAGAAAGCCGCUCUAAGUCUCGAUAUGCCUCAUCUUGUAUCAGCGUUGAGCUUUGGUAUGGAUCUUCUAAAACAAAUAUUCUUCGAAUUUGAGAAAUAAUAUUUUGUGUACCUUCCCUUCCUUCUGGCCCGUUAAGGAGUUCUUGAUAUUCAUCUAAAAAAGUCAUUCGCCAUUGUAUCCAAGCUAAUUUUUCAGCUUCGCCAAGUAGAUUUUCAAUGAACUCUGCUUUGUCGUUCGCAUUUGUAAAAUUUUGCUGUGCCACUAAAUUUUUUUGUUAUACUUUCCCAUC
This is a long non-coding RNA of Zingiber officinale, 4387 nucleotides long. RefSeq lists it as uncharacterized. NCBI's taxonomy places the organism in Eukaryota, Viridiplantae, Streptophyta, Magnoliopsida, Zingiberales, Zingiberaceae. The transcript has 22 exons. The record is from RefSeq and is a predicted model, not a curated record.